RNAcentral lists this transfer RNA (66 nucleotides) under Luehdorfia japonica. RNAcentral describes it as "tRNA-Ile". RNAcentral also lists the same sequence under 3 other names. The record is from RNAcentral. Lineage: Eukaryota; Metazoa; Arthropoda; Insecta; Lepidoptera; Papilionidae.
AAUAAAGUGCCUGAUAAAAAGGAUUAUUCUGAUAGGAUAAAUAAUGUAAUAUAUUUACCUUUAUUA